This 616-nucleotide long non-coding RNA is filed under the name Homo sapiens (human). RNAcentral's name for it is "HSALNT0307954". Lineage: Eukaryota; Metazoa; Chordata; Mammalia; Primates; Hominidae. The record is from RNAcentral.
CAGCCAUCAGACUUGAACUGCAACUCUUCCCUGGGUCUCCAGCCAGCAGAUUUUGGACCAGCACUGCUACAAUCAUGUCCUGGUUCCUAGAGAGAGGUUAAGAGUUCUACAACUCCAGAAGAAAUAUAGCCCUCUCCCAGAGGUCAUGCCCCUAGGAGCAGCAGAAUGAGAGCUUCAAUCCGCAUGCUUGAUUCACUAUUUCUCCCUCUUGGAUCUUGUCUUCCCAAAACCUUACAGGUGGGUAUCAGUGGACACCUGGGUAUGUAAUGUGAUCUGAGAGCCCACCCUCCCCUCUUUCCUACAAAGAACCACUUCUCACACGUAGUUAAAAAACAAAAACAAAACUGAAAGCAAAUAAAAGGAUCAUGAAAAUUAGGAAUUCCCCUCUACUCUCCUCCAGCCACCAAGCUCUACAGGAACUCUCUAAAGACAAUCCCCUUUUACUUUUCUUUAUUAUUAUUAUUUGUACAGACAGGGUCUUGCUCUGUCGCCCAGGCUACAGUACAGUAGCACGAUCAUAGCUCAUUGGAACCUCAAACUCAGGGACUCAAGGAUCUUCCCACCUCAGCCUGCCAAGUAGCUGGGACUACAGGUGCUCACCACCACACCUGGCUAA